This 901-nucleotide ribosomal RNA is filed under the name Haploporus ecuadorensis. RNAcentral's name for it is "partial large subunit ribosomal RNA". It matches the Rfam family "Eukaryotic large subunit ribosomal RNA", at positions 45 to 940 of the family's 3401-position model. The record is from RNAcentral. Lineage: Eukaryota; Fungi; Basidiomycota; Agaricomycetes; Polyporales; Polyporaceae.
AAUACAGAAGAACUAGCAGGAUUCCCCUAGUAACUGCGAGUGAAGCGGGAAAAGCUCAAAUUUAAAAUCUGGCAGCCUUUGGUUGUCCGAGUUGUAUUCUGGAGAAGUGUUUUCCGUGCUGGACCGUGUACAAGUCUCUUGGAAUAGAGCGUCAUAGAGGGUGAGAAUCCCGUCUUUGACACGGACUACCAGUGCUUUGUGAUGCGCUCUCAAAGAGUCGAGUUGUUUGGGAAUGCAGCUCAAAAUGGGUGGUGAAUUCCAUCUAAAGCUAAAUAUUGGCGAGAGACCGAUAGCGAACAAGUACCGUGAGGGAAAGAUGAAAAGCACUUUGGAAAGAGAGUUAAACAGUACGUGAAAUUGCUGAAAGGGAAACGCUUGAAGUCAGUCGUGUUGUCUGGAACUCAGCCUUGCUUUUUGCUUGGUGUACUUUCUAGAUGGCAGGCCAGCAUCAAUUUUGACUGUUGGAAAAGGGCUGGAGUAAUGUGGCACCUCCGGGUGUGUUAUAGACUCUGGUUAUAUACAGCAGUUGGGAUUGAGGAACGCAGUGCGCCGCAAGGCAGGGGGUUAACCCACUUUCGCACUUUGGAUGCUGGCAUAAUGGCUUUAAACGACCCGUCUUGAAACACGGACCAAGGAGUCUAACAUACCUGCGAGUGUUUGGGUGGUAAACCCGAGCGCGUAAUGAAAGUGAAAGUUGAGACCUCUGUCGUGGAGGGCAUCAACGCCCGGACCUGACGUUUUCUGAAGGAUCCGCGGUAGAGCAUGCAUGUUGGGACCCGAAAGAUGGUGAACUAUGCCUGAAUAGGGUGAAGCCAGAGGAAACUCUGGUGGAGGCUCGUAGCGAUUCUGACGUGCAAAUCGAUCGUCAAAUUUGGGUAUAGGGGCGAAAGACUAAUCGAAC